CUCUUAUCCCGAGCUGGUGGAGGGACAGGCCCUAUGAAACCCAGCAACCUGCUGUCAAAGGAAAGCGAAGGGAUGCGUACUAAUGAUAUAGGAAUAAUUCUUGGCUUUUUGCCUUUGGAAGGUGCUUAUGCAUCAUUCUAAUUAGCUCCCUAUGUUAACUAGCGUAUUCCAAGCAACUAUUUCCGACGCAAAGGUGCUAACCUGAAGCAAGGUGAAAUUCCUUGAUCGAUAAGAG
RNAcentral lists this non-coding RNA (235 nucleotides) under Metabacillus harenarius. Its description in RNAcentral is "Bacillus weihaiensis SAM-I sequence". It matches the Rfam family "SAM riboswitch aptamer (S box leader)". From Rfam's summary of the family: The SAM riboswitch is found upstream of a number of genes which code for proteins involved in methionine or cysteine biosynthesis in Gram-positive bacteria. Lineage: Bacteria; Bacillati; Bacillota; Bacilli; Caryophanales; Bacillaceae. The record is from Rfam by way of RNAcentral.